RNAcentral lists this ribosomal RNA (458 nucleotides) under uncultured bacterium. RNAcentral describes it as "SSU rRNA". It matches the Rfam family "Bacterial small subunit ribosomal RNA", at positions 26 to 518 of the family's 1533-position model. The record is from RNAcentral.
AGAAUCAACGCUGGCGGCGUGCCUAACACAUGCAAGUCGAACGAGAAAGUGGAGCAAUCCAUGAGUAAAGUGGCGCACGGGUGAGUAACACGUGACUAACCUACCCUUGAGUGGGGGAUAACCUAGAGAAAUCUGGGCUAAUACCGCAUAAUACCUUCGGGUCAAAGGAGCAAUUCGCUUAAGGAGGGGGUCGCGGCCGAUUAGUUAGUUGGCGGGGUAAUGGCCCACCAAGACUAUGAUCGGUAUCCGGCCUGAGAGGGCGCACGGACACACUGGAACUGAAACACGGUCCAGACUCCUACGGGAGGCAGCAGUGGGAAUUUUGCGCAAUGGGGAAACCCUGACGCAGCAACGCCGCGUGGAGGAUGAAGUCCCUUGGGACGUAAACUCCUUUCGAUCGGGACGAUAAUGACGGUACCGAGAGAAGAAGCCCCGGCUAACUUCGCGCCAGCAGCCGC